RNAcentral lists this ribosomal RNA (1418 nucleotides) under Staphylococcus pseudoxylosus. RNAcentral's name for it is "bacterial SSU rRNA". It matches the Rfam family "Bacterial small subunit ribosomal RNA". Lineage: Bacteria; Bacillati; Bacillota; Bacilli; Caryophanales; Staphylococcaceae. The record is from RNAcentral.
UGCAAGUCGAGCGAACAGAUAAGGAGCUUGCUCCUUUGACGUUAGCGGCGGACGGGUGAGUAACACGUGGGUAACCUACCUAUAAGACUGGGAUAACUUCAGGGAAACCGGAGCUAAUACCGGAUAACAUUUGGAACCGCAUGGUUCUAAAGUGAAAGAUGGUUUUGCUAUCACUUAUAGAUGGACCCGCGCCGUAUUAGCUAGUUGGUAAGGUAACGGCUUACCAAGGCAACGAUACGUAGCCGACCUGAGAGGGUGAUCGGCCACACUGGAACUGAGACACGGUCCAGACUCCUACGGGAGGCAGCAGUAGGGAAUCUUCCGCAAUGGGCGAAAGCCUGACGGAGCAACGCCGCGUGAGUGAUGAAGGGUUUCGGCUCGUAAAACUCUGUUAUUAGGGAAGAACAAAUGUGUAAGUAACUGUGCACAUCUUGACGGUACCUAAUCAGAAAGCCACGGCUAACUACGUGCCAGCAGCCGCGGUAAUACGUAGGUGGCAAGCGUUAUCCGGAAUUAUUGGGCGUAAAGCGCGCGUAGGCGGUUUCUUAAGUCUGAUGUGAAAGCCCACGGCUCAACCGUGGAGGGUCAUUGGAAACUGGGAAACUUGAGUGCAGAAGAGGAAAGUGGAAUUCCAUGUGUAGCGGUGAAAUGCGCAGAGAUAUGGAGGAACACCAGUGGCGAAGGCGACUUUCUGGUCUGUAACUGACGCUGAUGUGCGAAAGCGUGGGGAUCAAACAGGAUUAGAUACCCUGGUAGUCCACGCCGUAAACGAUGAGUGCUAAGUGUUAGGGGGUUUCCGCCCCUUAGUGCUGCAGCUAACGCAUUAAGCACUCCGCCUGGGGAGUACGACCGCAAGGUUGAAACUCAAAGGAAUUGACGGGGACCCGCACAAGCGGUGGAGCAUGUGGUUUAAUUCGAAGCAACGCGAAGAACCUUACCAAAUCUUGACAUCCUUUGAAAACUCUAGAGAUAGAGCCUUCCCCUUCGGGGGACAAAGUGACAGGUGGUGCAUGGUUGUCGUCAGCUCGUGUCGUGAGAUGUUGGGUUAAGUCCCGCAACGAGCGCAACCCUUAAGCUUAGUUGCCAUCAUUAAGUUGGGCACUCUAGGUUGACUGCCGGUGACAAACCGGAGGAAGGUGGGGAUGACGUCAAAUCAUCAUGCCCCUUAUGAUUUGGGCUACACACGUGCUACAAUGGACAAUACAAAGGGCAGCUAAACCGCGAGGUCAUGCAAAUCCCAUAAAGUUGUUCUCAGUUCGGAUUGUAGUCUGCAACUCGACUACAUGAAGCUGGAAUCGCUAGUAAUCGUAGAUCAGCAUGCUACGGUGAAUACGUUCCCGGGUCUUGUACACACCGCCCGUCACACCACGAGAGUUUGUAACACCCGAAGCCGGUGGAGUAACCAUUUAUGGAGCUAG